Molecule: ribosomal RNA, 859 nt
Filed under: uncultured bacterium
Lineage: Bacteria
Description: bacterial SSU rRNA
Rfam family: Bacterial small subunit ribosomal RNA
Source: RNAcentral
GGCUCAGGAUGAACGCUAGCGGCAGGCUUAAUACAUGCAAGUCGUGGGGCAGCACAGGUAGCAAUACUGGGUGGCGACCGGCAAACGGGUGCGGAACACGUACGCAACCUUCCCAAAACUGGUGAAUAGCCCUCCGAAAGGAGGAUUAAUACACCGUAACAUAAUGAAGUGGCAUCACUUUAUUAUUAUAGCUCCGGCGGUUUUGGAUGGGCGUGCGCCUGAUUAGGUAGUUGGCGGGGUAACGGCCCACCAAGCCUGCGAUCAGUAACUGGUGUGAGAGCACGACCAGUCACACGGGCACUGAGACACGGGCCCGACUCCUACGGGAGGCAGCAGUAAGGAAUAUUGGUCAAUGGACGCAAGUCUGAACCAGCCAUGCCGCGUGAAGGAUGAAGGUCCUCUGGAUUGUAAACUUCUUUUAUAGGGGACGAAAAAAGGGAAUUCUUUCUCACUUGACGGUACCCUAGGAAUAAGCACCGGCUAACUCCGUGCCAGCAGCCGCGGUAAUACGGAGGGUGCAAGCGUUAUCCGGAUUUACUGGGUUUAAAGGGUGCGUAGGUGGGUCUGUAAGUCAGUGGUGAAAUCUCCGGGCUUAACUCGGAAACUGCCAUUGAUACUAUAGAUCUUGAAUACUCUGGAGGUAAGCGGAAUAUGUCAUGUAGCGGUGAAAUGCUUAGAUAUGACAUAGAACACCAAUUGCGAAGGCAGCUUACUACGGGGUCAUUGACACUGAGGCACGAAAGCGUGGGGAUCAAACAGGAUUAGAUACCCUGGUAGUCCACGCCCUAAACGAUGGAUACUCGACAUCAGCGAUACACUGUUGGUGUCUGAGCGAAAGCAUUAAGUAUCCCACCUGGGA